Molecule: long non-coding RNA, 567 nt
Filed under: Phoenix dactylifera (date palm)
Lineage: Eukaryota; Viridiplantae; Streptophyta; Magnoliopsida; Arecales; Arecaceae
Description: long non-coding RNA (PDAC_LNC011045)
Source: RNAcentral
AGAUUUGAAUUGUAUUUACUUGCUCUGACAUUGUACUUUUCGGCUUGGAACACUGAACAUAAUGUAAGAAAAGAUAACGACCUGAAAUAGAUUAAGACUUGCAGUCGGGCUAUGUUGAGGACCCUGCCAAUGGGGGCUAAUACAUUGGUACCACAAGAAGAAUAGUCGGUGAUAUGACCCUGCCACAGGAAACAUGUGGUCAUAGUUCCUGGUUGUUGAGUUGAAUCUAAUAAAUUGAAAGAAAUUAAGAUAUGAACGGUAUUUGAUUUUGACAUUGCAUGUUUUCAUGACUGAAAUAUGAAAUAGAGAACUAAUUGAACUUUGACCUGGCUAUGUUGAGGACCCCGCCAAUGGGGGCAGAUACGUUGGCAAUUGACUGUCCUGAAGGACUCACCGCAAGAAGAUUAGCCGGUGUUGAUGACCCUGCCACAGGGAACAUGUGGUCAUAGUCCAGGAUCGACAAGAUAAAUUGAAUAUGUGAAAGAAUCUUGAAACCGCGAAAAGAAUCUUUUGAAUUUAAGAAAUAUAUGACUUAUACUUUGGAGCUGCAUAUUUAUUUAUUUUUCA